CCUACGGGGGGCAGCAGUAGGGAAUCUUCCACAAUGGGCGAAAGCCUGAUGGAGCAACGCCGCGUGGGUGAAGAAGGUCUUCGGAUUGUAUAACCCUGUUGUUAGAGAAGAAAGUGCUUGAGAGAAACUGUUCACGAUUCGACGGUAUCUAACCAGAAAGCCACGGCUAACUACGUGCCAGCAGCCGCGGUAAUACGUAGGGGGCAAGCGUUAUCCGGAUUUAUUGGGCGUAAAGGGAACGCAGGCGGUCUUUUAAGUGUGAUGUGAAAGCCCUCGGCUUAACCGGGGGAUUGCAUUUGAAACUG
RNAcentral lists this ribosomal RNA (305 nucleotides) under uncultured bacterium. Its description in RNAcentral is "bacterial SSU rRNA". It matches the Rfam family "Bacterial small subunit ribosomal RNA", at positions 338 to 635 of the family's 1533-position model. The record is from RNAcentral.